CGCCCGUCACACCAUGGGAGUUGGUAAUACCCGAAGAUGGUUAGUUAACCUCGGAGGCAACUAUCUAAGGUAGGACUGAUGACUGGGGUGAAGUCGUAACAAGGUAUCCCUACGAGAACGUGGGGAUGGAUCACCUCCUUUCUACGGAGUACACAUACAUCUUAUUAAAUUUGGUUAUUUAAAAAUCCUUUUAUAAUAAAUAAAAAGGUUAUUAUGGGCUUGCCAAAUAGUUUUGUAUCUAGUUUUGAAAGAUUUAAUUUUUUCUUUCUAAUUAAUAAAUGUUUUAAUAUAGUUCUUUGAAAACUGAAUAGCAAAUAUUGAAAUUUUAAUUUCAUAAUAUUUCAACAACGACAUUACAACACCGAGUCUAACUGUUUUAUUGAACAGUUAGCUUAAAAUAGAUACCUUAGAUAUAUAAAUCUAAAACAAUAGGCUUAAAAAAUAAGUUAUAUUAGCUUUUAAAUAAGUAAGAGUAUAUAGUGGAUGCCUUGGGUCUGGAAGUCGAUGAAGGACGUGAUUACCUGCGAUAAGCCUCGUGGAGCUGGAAUACGCUAUGAUACGGGGAUUUCCGAAUGGGGGAACCUAACUAGAUAAACUCUAGUUGAUUUAUAAUGAAUACAUAGUUAUAAAUGCGAGACACCUUGUGAAUUGAAACAUCUUAGUAGCAAGAGGAAAAGAAAAUAAAUAAUGAUUUCGUUAGUAGUGGCGAGCGAAUGCGAAAGAGCCCAAACCAUCAUUUUGAUGGGGUUGUAGGACAUUCUACAUAAAGUUACAAAAUUUUAUUAUAGUUGAAAAAGUUGGAAAGCUUUAACAUAGAAGGUGAUAUUCCUGUAAACGAAAUAAUAAAAUCUUUUGAAUGUAUCCUGAGUAGGGCGGGGCACGUGAAACCCUGUCUGAAUCUGCCGGGACCACCCGGUAAGGCUAAAUACUAACCAGACACCGAUAGUGAAACA
Molecule: small RNA, 953 nt
Filed under: Mesomycoplasma neurolyticum
Lineage: Bacteria; Bacillati; Mycoplasmatota; Mycoplasmoidales; Metamycoplasmataceae
Description: bacterial LSU rRNA
Rfam family: Bacterial large subunit ribosomal RNA (bases 457-953)
Source: RNAcentral